This 301-nucleotide ribosomal RNA is filed under the name uncultured bacterium. Its description in RNAcentral is "partial 16S ribosomal RNA". It matches the Rfam family "Bacterial small subunit ribosomal RNA", at positions 509 to 809 of the family's 1533-position model. The record is from RNAcentral.
CAGCAGCCGCGGGAAUACAGAGGGUGCGAGCGUUAAUCGGAUUUACUGGGCGUAAAGCGUGCGUAGGCGGCUUUUUAAGUCGGAUGUGAAAUCCCCGAGCUUAACUUGGGAAUUGCAUUCGAUACUGGGAAGCUAGAGUAUGGGAGAGGAUGGUAGAAUUCCAGGUGUAGCGGUGAAAUGCGUAGAGAUCUGGAGGAAUACCGAUGGCAAAGGCAGCCAUCUGGCCUAAUACUGACGCUGAGGUACGAAAGCAUGGGGAGCAAACAGGAUUAGAUACCCCUGUAGUCCCUGUCUCUUAUAU